UGUACUUUCUACAAUGUCAGCUCCACCAGCUCAUAGCAGUCGUUUCCUGCUGCCUGUUGUUGGUCAGUCUAAGCCGCUUUGUUUUGACGUUCCUGUUCCUUACAAACUCCGACUCCUACAGGAUUCAGCUUCAGAGUUCUCUAUGAAUGGAGAAUCCAUGACUGGACAAAAUGGAUGUCGUAAAAUUGCAUUUCAUUACAAAACAAACCAUCAUCUGACAA
Sinocyclocheilus anshuiensis is the source of this 221-nucleotide long non-coding RNA. RefSeq lists it as uncharacterized. The transcript is spliced from 3 exons. NCBI's taxonomy places the organism in Eukaryota, Metazoa, Chordata, Actinopteri, Cypriniformes, Cyprinidae. The record is from RefSeq and is a predicted model, not a curated record.